RNAcentral lists this ribosomal RNA (467 nucleotides) under uncultured bacterium. RNAcentral describes it as "partial 16S ribosomal RNA". It matches the Rfam family "Bacterial small subunit ribosomal RNA", at positions 28 to 507 of the family's 1533-position model. The record is from RNAcentral.
GAUGAACGCUGGCGGCGUGCUUAACACAUGCAAGUCGAACGGAAAGGCCCAAGCUUGCUUGGGUACUCGAGUGGCGAACGGGUGAGUAACACGUGGGUGAUCUGCCCUGCACUUCGGGAUAAGCCUGGGAAACUGGGUCUAAUACCGGAUAGGACCACUUCUUGGAUGUUGUGGUGGAAAGUUUUUUCGGUGUGGGAUGAGCUCGCGGCCUAUCAGCUUGUUGGUGGGGUAAUGGCCUACCAAGGCGUCGACGGGUAGCCGGCCUGAGAGGGUGUACGGCCACAUUGGGACUGAGAUACGGCCCAGACUCCUACGGGAGGCAGCAGUGGGGAAUAGUGCACAAUGGGCGCAAGCCUGAUGCAGCGACGCCGCGUGGGGGAUGACGGCCUUCGGGUUGUAAACGCCUUUCGCUAGGGACGAAGCGUUUUGUGACGGUACCUGGAGAAGAAGCACCGGCUAACUACGUG